ACGGGUGCCUAACGCGUAUGCAACCUACCUUCAUCUGGGGGAUAGCCCGGAGAAAUCCGGAUUAAUACCGCAUAAAAUCACAGGAUGGCAUUAUCCAAUGAUCAAACAUUUAUGGGACGGAGAUGGGCAUGCGUGUCAUUAGCUAGUUGGCGGGGUAACGGCCCACCAAGGCGACGAUGACUAGGGGAUCUGAGAGGAUGGCCCCCCACACUGGUACUGAGACACGGACCAAACUCCUACGGGAGGCAGCAGUAAGGAAUAUUGGUCAAUGGAGGCAACUCUGAACCAGCCAUGCCGCGUGCAGGAAGACUGCCCUAUGGGUUGUAAACUGCUUUUAUCCGGGAAUAAACCACAUUACGUGUAAUGUGCUGAAUGUACCGGAAGAAUAAGGAUCGGCUAACUCCGUGCCAGCAGCCGCGGUAAUACGGAGGAUCCAAGCGUUAUCCGGAUUUAUUGGGUUUAAAGGGUGCGUAGGCCGCCUGUUAAGUCAGGGGUGAAAGACGGUAGCUCAACUAUCGCACUGCCCUUGAUACUGAUGGGCUUGAAUGGACUACAGGUAGGCGGAAUGAGACAAGUAGCGGUG
RNAcentral lists this ribosomal RNA (583 nucleotides) under Pedobacter sp. SDB-136. RNAcentral describes it as "bacterial SSU rRNA". It matches the Rfam family "Bacterial small subunit ribosomal RNA", at positions 102 to 683 of the family's 1533-position model. Lineage: Bacteria; Pseudomonadati; Bacteroidota; Sphingobacteriia; Sphingobacteriales; Sphingobacteriaceae. The record is from RNAcentral.